This 87-nucleotide transfer RNA is filed under the name Oscillospiraceae bacterium. RNAcentral's name for it is "tRNA-Leu". It matches the Rfam family "tRNA". From Rfam's summary of the family: Transfer RNA (tRNA) molecules are approximately 80 nucleotides in length. RNAcentral also lists the same sequence under 2 other names. Lineage: Bacteria; Bacillati; Bacillota; Clostridia; Eubacteriales; Oscillospiraceae. The record is from RNAcentral.
GCCGGUGUGUUGGAAUUGGCAGACGAGGUGGACUCAAAAUCCAUUGGUGGUGACACCGUGCGGGUUCGACCCCCGCCACCGGCACCA